This 254-nucleotide ribosomal RNA is filed under the name uncultured bacterium. Its description in RNAcentral is "partial 16S ribosomal RNA". It matches the Rfam family "Bacterial small subunit ribosomal RNA", at positions 524 to 776 of the family's 1533-position model. The record is from RNAcentral.
UACGUAGGUGGCAAGCGUUGUCCGGAUUUAUUGGGUUUAAAGGGUGCGUAGGCGGCUUGAUAAGUCAGUGGUGAAAGCCGAUCGCUUAACGAUCGAACUGCCAUUGAUACUGCCAGGCUUGAGUAUAGUUGAGGUAGGCGGAAUUGACAGUGUAGCGGUGAAAUGCAUAGAUAUUGUCAAGAACACCAAUUGCGAAGGCAGCUUACUAAAGUAUAACUGACGCUGAGGCACGAAAGUGCGGGGGAUCAAACAGG